This 701-nucleotide ribosomal RNA is filed under the name uncultured bacterium. Its description in RNAcentral is "bacterial SSU rRNA". It matches the Rfam family "Bacterial small subunit ribosomal RNA", at positions 791 to 1498 of the family's 1533-position model. The record is from RNAcentral.
UAGUCCACGCCCUAAACGAUGAAUGUUAGUCGUCGGGUAGCUAGUCUAUUCGGUGAUGCAGCUAACGCAUUAAACAUUCCGCCUGGGGAGUACGGUCGCAAGAUUAAAACUCAAAGGAAUAGACGGGGACCCGCACAAGUGGUGGAGCAUGUGGUUUAAUUCGAAGAUACGCGAAGAACCUUACCUAGCCUUGACAUAUAUUAGAACUCAGUAGAGAUACAGAGGUGCCUUCGGGAGCUUUUAUACAGGUGCUGCACGGCUGUCGUCAGCUCGUGUCGUGAGAUGUUGGGUUAAGUCCCGCAACGAGCGCAACCCUCGUCACUAGUUACUAACGGUUAGGCCGAGGACUUUAGUGAGACUGCCUUCGCAAGGAGGAGGAAGGUGAGGACGACGUCAAGUCAUCAUGGCCCUUACGGCUAGGGCAACACACGUGCUACAAUGGCCAGGACAAUGAGACGCAAUACCGUGAGGUGGAGCAAAUCUAUAAACCUGGUCUCAGUUCGGAUUGUAGUCUGCAACUCGACUACAUGAAGCUGGAAUCACUAGUAAUCGUAGAUCAGCUAUGCUACGGUGAAUACGUUCCCGGGUCUUGUACUCACCGCCCGUCACACCAUGGGAGUUGAUUUCACCCGAAGCGGGGAAGCUAAACUGGCUACCCUCCACGGUGGAAUUAGCGACUGGGGUGAAGUCGUAACAAGGUA